UAUUCUAAUGGUGGUGGGUAAAUCCUAUUAUGUCCUAAAGGUCAUGUCCUGUCCUUAGAAUUUGAGUGGGGGAAUGUAAAUUCUUAAUCCCAUCAGCUCCAGUCUGGGGGAGAUGUGGCUGAAGGUGAGUUUGUUUGUGAAUAGGCUGCCCUGGAUUUCUGUAAACGGAUAUUGAAUGGAAUACUUCAUUCUCCUUAGAUACAAAAGUGUCUCAUUCAUAAAAAGUAAUUGUGCUUUCCUGAUAAUGGAAAGAAGUAAAUGAUUUUAUCCUAAGAAAGCCUUCUUUGUGGGGGAGAAUGGGGUGCUGACUUCCUACACCAGUGACCAAAUUCAAUUUUACAACCUUUUUACAAUGGUCAUGAAACAAAUCACCACAGUUGUAAAAUGAAUUAAAUAGUUGAUAAGCAAAUCUAUUCUUCCAAAUGGGCCUUUUUGUUGGAAACCAGUAAAAAAAACCAUAGGAAAUCGACAAUAAAAAUAGAAAUCGUUGUGAUUGUGGGAGGCUGCAAUCCGUCAUAGAUGUGAACUGCUUGUCAAGCAUCUGAAAUGAGAUUGUAGGAAGGAAAGAGUUGUAACUCCAAGAACAGGUUGGAAGUAACUUUUUAAAGUCUGCUGUAAGUUUGUAUCGUCGUAAGUUGGGACUAACUUUCCUGGUACUGUUGUGUCUGCGCCCCCCGAACCAGGCCUCCUGCCAGAAAGUGACUUGGAAAGUGAGGGGGAAGGGCCGUCAGGACUUACCUCGGGAGCACCGGCUUCCCUGGCUCAGCUCAAGGAGCCAGAGGCAGGCCAGGUGGAAGAGAUAACGAGGCCUCCGUCCCCUGACUCUUUCCCACCCCAGGCCACGCCUCCAGACCCAGCUGAUGGCAAUCAGGCUUGGUUGGACCAUAGGUUUCGUAGGCAGGAGAGGACGGAAUAACAGAAGCAGGGAUGGGGCAGGCCUAGGAAGUGCUGAGUCAUGGAGCCACAUCCCACAGGAUAUAAAGGCAGCAAGAGCUGGUGUGCCUCUUCGUAGCAGGCAAAUCAAUUGAUUAACUAAGAGCUGAAGUUUGUUCCUGGUUGACUCAUCGGCGUCGAGGGAGAUAACAGAGACACUUGGCAUACGCUUGCUAUUUUGCUGCCAGAGCUGAUAGUGCCGGCUAAUUAAGCCAUCGCUCGGACGGAGGCGAAGGAGGACAGAACAGGUAAUAUAUGUGCUAGUCGUUCCUGACUCUAGGGGGCGGUGCUCAUCUCCGUUUCAAAGCCGAAGAGCCAGUGCUGUCCGAAGAUGUCUCCGUGGUCAUGUGGCCAGCAUGACUCAACGCCAAAGGCGCAUGGAACACUGUUACCUUCCCACCAAAGGAUUUCUAUAUCCCUUAAGGAAGACCUCUUAGGAACCUGAAAGCUUCCAUACUGUUAAAUUAACAAUUUGUUAACUUAAUAAAAAAAUUGCCUUCCUGUAGAUUCUUUUUUUACAUGGUCCACAACAUCUGCUUUUGCUUUUUAUUCCUUACAUUAAACUUUAAAGCCUAUUUACGUAGGCUGUCAGCUGAUUGUAGCUUGCUUAU
This is a long non-coding RNA of Ahaetulla prasina, 1544 nucleotides long. RefSeq lists it as uncharacterized. The transcript is spliced from 3 exons. NCBI's taxonomy places the organism in Eukaryota, Metazoa, Chordata, Lepidosauria, Squamata, Colubridae. The record is from RefSeq and is a predicted model, not a curated record.